CCGCACGGGUGAGUAACACGUAUGCAAUCCACCUGUAACAGGGGGAUAACCCGGAGAAAUCCGAACUAAUACCCCAUAAUAUGGGCGCUCCGCAUGGAGAGCCCAUUAAAGAGAGCAAUUUUGGUUACAGACGAGCAUGCGCUCCAUUAGCCAGUUGGCGGGGUAACGGCCCACCAAAGCGACGAUGGAUAGGGGUUCUGAGAGGAAGGUCCCCCACAUUGGAACUGAGACACGGUCCAA
Molecule: ribosomal RNA, 240 nt
Filed under: uncultured bacterium
Lineage: Bacteria
Description: partial 16S ribosomal RNA
Rfam family: Bacterial small subunit ribosomal RNA
Source: RNAcentral